GGGUUGUGAGGUUAAGCGACUAAGCGUACACGGUGGAUGCCCUGGCAGUCAGAGGCGAUGAAGGNNUCGUCACACUAUCAUUAACUGAAUCCAUAGGUUAAUGAGGCGAACCGGGGGAACUGAAACAUCUAAGUACCCCGAGGAAAAGAAAUCAACCGAGAUUCCCCCAGUAGCGGCGAGCGAACGGGGAGGAGCCCAGAGCCUGAAUCAGCAUGUGUGUUAGUGGAAGCGUCUGGAAAGGCGCGCGAUACAGGGUGACAGCCCCGUACACAAAAGCGCAUGUGCUGUGAGCUCGAUGAGUAGGGCGGGACACGUGGUAUCCUGUCUGAAUAUGGGGGGACCAUCCUCCAAGGCUAAAUACUCCUGACUGACCGAUAGUGAACCAGUACCGUGAGGGAAAGGCGAAAAGAACCCCGGCGAGGGGAGUGAAAAAGAACCUGAAACCGUGUACGUACAAGCAGUGGGAGCNNGUGACUGCGUACCUUUUGUAUAAUGGGUCAGCGACUUAUAUUCUGUAGCAAGGUUAACCGAAUAGGGGAGCCGGAGGGAAACCGAGUCUUAAUUGGGCGUUAAGUUGCAGGGUAUAGACCCGAAACCCGGUGAUCUAGCCAUGGGCAGGUUGAAGGUUGGGUAACACUAACUGGAGGACCGAACCGACUAAUGUUGAAAAAUUAGCGGAUGACCUGUGGCUGGGGGUGAAAGGCCAAUCAAACCGGGAGAUAGCUGGUUCUCCCCGAAAGCUAUUUAGGUAGCGCCUCGUGAAUUCAUCUCCGGGGGUAGAGCACUGUUUCGGCUAGGGGGCCAUCCCGGCUUACCAACCCGAUGCAAACUGCGAAUACCGGAGAAUGUUAUCACGGGAGACACACGGCGGGUGCUAACGUCCGUCGUGAAGAGGGAAACAACCCAGACCGCCAGCUAAGGUCCCAAAGUCAUGGUUAAGUGGGAAACGAUGUGGGAAGGCCCAGACAGCCAGGAUGUUGGCUUAGAAGCAGCCAUCAUUUAAAGAAAGCGUAAUAGCUCACUGGUCGAGUCGGCCUGCGCGGAAGAUGUAACGGGGCUAAACCAUGCACCGAAGCUGCGGCAGCGANNGUUGGGUAGGGGAGCGUUCUGUAAGCCUGCGAAGGUGUGUCGUGAGGCAUGCUGGAGGUAUCAGAAGUGCGAAUGCUGACAUAAGUAACGAUAAAGCGGGUGAAAAGCCCGCUCGCCGGAAGACCAAGGGUUCCUGUCCAACGUUAAUCGGGGCAGGGUGAGUCGACCCCUAAGGCGAGGCCGAAAGGCGUAGUCGAUGGGAAACGGGUUAAUAUUCCCGUACUUGGUGUUACUGCGAAGGGGGGACGGAGAAGGCUAUGUUGGCCGGGCGACGGUUGUCCCGGUUUAAGCGUGUAGGUGUGUGUUCCAGGUAAAUCCGGUUCACUUUAACACUGAGGCGUGAUGACGAGGCACUACGGUGCUGAAGCAACAAAUGCCCUGCUUCCAGGAAAAGCCUCUAAGCAUCAGGUAACAUCAAAUCGUACCCCAAACCGACACAGGUGGUCAGGUAGAGAAUACCAAGGCGCUUGAGAGAACUCGGGUGAAGGAACUAGGCAAAAUGGUGCCGUAACUUCGGGAGAAGGCACGCUGACACGUAGGUGAAGUGAUUUACUCAUGGAGCUGAAGUCAGUCGAAGAUACCAGCUGGCUGCAACUGUUUAUUAAAAACACAGCACUGUGCAAACACGAAAGUGGACGUAUACGGUGUGACGCCUGCCCGGUGCCGGAAGGUUAAUUGAUGGGGUCAGCGCAAGCGAAGCUCCUGAUCGAAGCCCCGGUAAACGGCGGCCGUAACUAUAACGGUCCUAAGGUAGCGAAAUUCCUUGUCGGGUAAGUUCCGACCUGCACGAAUGGCGUAAUGAUGGCCAGGCUGUCUCCACCCGAGACUCAGUGAAAUUGAACUCGCUGUGAAGAUGCAGUGUACCCGCGGCAAGACGGAAAGACCCCGUGAACCUUUACUAUAGCUUGACACUGAACAUUGAGCCUUGAUGUGUAGGAUAGGUGGGAGGCUUUGAAGCGUGGACGCCAGUCUGCGUGGAGCCGACCUUGAAAUACCACCCUUUAAUGUUUGAUGUUCUAACGUGGACCCGUAAUCCGGGUUGCGGACAGUGUCUGGUGGGUAGUUUGACUGGGGCGGUCUCCUCCUAAAGAGUAACGGAGGAGCACGAAGGUUGGCUAAUCCUGGUCGGACAUCAGGAGGUUAGUGCAAUGGCAUAAGCCAGCUUGACUGCGAGCGUGACGGCGCGAGCAGGUGCGAAAGCAGGUCAUAGUGAUCCGGUGGUUCUGAAUGGAAGGGCCAUCGCUCAACGGAUAAAAGGUACUCCGGGGAUAACAGGCUGAUACCGCCCAAGAGUUCAUAUCGACGGCGGUGUUUGGCACCUCGAUGUCGGCUCAUCACAUCCUGGGGCUGAAGUAGGUCCCAAGGGUAUGGCUGUUCGCCAUUUAAAGUGGUACGCGAGCUGGGUUUAGAACGUCGUGAGACAGUUCGGUCCCUAUCUGCCGUGGGCGCUGGAGAACUGAGGGGGGCUGCUCCUAGUACGAGAGGACCGGAGUGGACGCAUCACUGGUGUUCGGGUUGUCAUGCCAAUGGCACUGCCCGGUAGCUAAAUGCGGAAGAGAUAAGUGCUGAAAGCAUCUAAGCACGAAACUUGCCCCGAGAUGAGUUCUCCCUGAGACUUAGAGUCUCCUGAAGGAACGUUGAAGA
RNAcentral lists this ribosomal RNA (2733 nucleotides) under Salmonella enterica subsp. enterica serovar Infantis str. CVM N23791. Its description in RNAcentral is "bacterial LSU rRNA". It matches the Rfam family "Bacterial large subunit ribosomal RNA". The record is from RNAcentral. Lineage: Bacteria; Pseudomonadati; Pseudomonadota; Gammaproteobacteria; Enterobacterales; Enterobacteriaceae.